Molecule: ribosomal RNA, 484 nt
Filed under: uncultured bacterium
Lineage: Bacteria
Description: partial 16S ribosomal RNA
Rfam family: Bacterial small subunit ribosomal RNA
Source: RNAcentral
AUUGAACGCUGGCGGCAGGCCUAACACAUGCAAGUCGAGCGGAUGAAGGGAGCUUGCUCCUGGAUUCAGCGGCGGACGGGUGAGUAAUGCCUAGGAAUCUGCCUGGUAGUGGGGGAUAACGUCCGGAAACGGGCGCUAAUACCGCAUACGCCCUGAGGGAGAAAGUGGGGGAUCUUCGGACCUCACGCUAUCAGAUGAGCCUAGGUCGGAUUAGCUAGUUGGUGGGGUAAAGGCCUACCAAGGCGACGAUCCGUAACUGGUCUGAGAGGAUGAUCAGUCACACUGGAGCUGAGACACGGUCCAGACUCCUACGGGAGGCAGCAGUGGGGAAUAUUGGACAAUGGGCGAAAGCCUGAUCCAGCCAUGCCGCGUGUGUGAAGAAGGUCUUCGGAUUGUAAAGCACUUUAAGUUGGGAGGAAGGGCAGUAAGUUAAUACCUUGCUGUUUUGACGUUACCAACAGAAUAAGCACCGGCUAACUUCGUG